Molecule: long non-coding RNA, 2006 nt
Filed under: Nilaparvata lugens (brown planthopper)
Lineage: Eukaryota; Metazoa; Arthropoda; Insecta; Hemiptera; Delphacidae
Description: uncharacterized LOC111049953, transcript variant X8
Source: RNAcentral
ACCGUUAAAUAAUAUCGUAAAUCGUUUAUUAGAGGUUACAGGUUACAAUAGUUUUUGAAUUUUAAUAUUUUUGAAUGAUGAAGAAGUAAGAAAGAAGUACAGACCCCCACUGAGAAAGAAGCACAAACCCCCACUGAGAAAGACCUCUUUUACUUGGAUGUUGGAUAGUUUUUGAAUGAGGGCCUAGACCGCAGACGCAGAAUGCAGAUUGCUUUAUUCUCUUCUCUCGUUCAGACGUUCACGUGUUUCAAUUAUUAUGCUAAAUGUGAAUGGCAGAAACAAUAAUUAGUUUUUUCUUGUUGGAAUGCUACGGUACCUGUAAAUGAAUGUGACCGAAGGCUUCACUUGUGCAAGUUAGUGCAAGAGACUGAAGGACCAGCAUCAGAAGGCAGUUUAGGAUUUUGGAAUGAUCGUAGACAUGAUUGCCUAUCAUCUUGAUAUGAUCUUGAAAAAAGAGAUUUAGUUCCUACUAAAAUGUCUAUUGGAGGAGACUAUUUUGACUCGCCUGACACUAAGUUUGUUGGAAAAAUAUAACUGAAGCCUGAAGAGUGCAAUUAUCAUUCAUUUAUUGCCUUCAACUGUUCAUGAUGAUGAUAAAAGGACCCCAUUUUUAAAAUCAAGAAACCAAUGCAUACAUCAGCAUUGACGUAGCUAAUCUUGUGACUUUUUAAUUGGCAGUUAUGGAAGACAAUAGUGGAACAUCAUCCUAGCAGAGCAGCGGCACAUCAUGAGGAGAUCAUGUCAACAGCCAGGCGGCCAGUGAAGUCAUCGUUGAAUAUGAUCGAAUUCAAGAAACUACUUCAACUGUCAUCGAGAUCCCAUAUCUACAGUACAGCAGUCGUGUGGUAGGAAAAAUAAAUUUUAAUGUGUAAUCUAUCAAAAGAAGUUGGGUGCUUGAAAUGUUUUGAAACAGCAUAUGGGUCAUACAUUUAGAGGUGCAAUAUCAAUGUAUAGUUUGUAUUAAAGUAAUGUAAUACUUCAAUUUAAAAAAUUUAAACGACGGCGUUAAAUCGCCCUAAUCAUAUUAAGUUGCUCAAUCCCAACCAAACUUUUUCCAAACUUCAAACGCAUUCUUAUGAAGCUCAAUUUUUUUGCUUAGUCAAAGAGAUUUUUAUGUAACUGACUUGUAUCACAAGAAAUCUGAGUAAUAUGUAUACUUGUGAAACACCAAACAAUUAUUUUAAAGGUUGUUAUGAAUUAUACUUUGUCAUGAAGAAGGAUCAAGUACCAGGAACUAAUAGUGGAGCUGUGCAGGCUGAGCAGAGGCUACUCUGUACGACUGGGGGUUCUUAAAAUUGAUGUUCUUGGAGGGUUGCGCCCAUCACUGCUUUCUAAUUUAAAAUCUAUUCCUGCUUGUGAAUAGAGUUCCAAUCCACUGUUGAGCAGAUGCAGAAAGCGGACACUUUGGGCUCCAUCUCUACUCAGGACAAAUGAUUUGUGGAUGACGGACAUGGAAUAACUGCUUACCACAUGAUUGUGUGGAGUAGUUAUGUCAUUAAUUAUUAGCAUGUCACCCUCCCUUGGUGGUCGGAACCCAAGGGUUGAGUGGUCUAGCAUCUCCCAACAUGGAUAUAAUAAUUAUUAGCAACUCCUAAAUGGGAAAUAAUAAUAAUAAUAGUUUCACUUGAGACACUCCUAUGGUAGACAGAAAUCCGGUGCUGCCUUAUAUCCCCAGGGAUAUUGAGUCCGUUUUGGAGAAAAAUACUCCAAAAAGAUUGAACCAUUUGGUUAAUCAAUUCAUAAAUUUCAAUCUGAUCAUUAGGAGAAAAUUUCAACAAUAUUCUCUUAAAUCUUCGAUAAGCUUCAUCAACAACAAUCUGACGAUACAUUUGUCUAAGAUCAGAUGUUAGAGUGAUUAGGAACAACCGAAAAUUCAACAACAAAUUGAAGAUAUCACUUUGUAAUUUUUGGCCAACAUGUAAAAUACAAUUAAGAGACAAAUUUGAUGACGAUCGCGCAAAAGCAUUGAAAACAAUUCAAACUUAUCUUCUUGAUUUUUUAUUAAU